This 298-nucleotide ribosomal RNA is filed under the name uncultured eukaryote. RNAcentral's name for it is "partial 18S ribosomal RNA". It matches the Rfam family "Eukaryotic small subunit ribosomal RNA", at positions 1470 to 1796 of the family's 1831-position model. The record is from RNAcentral.
CCCUUAGAUGUUCUGGGCCGCACGCGCGCUACACUGACACAAACAGCAAGUUCUGAACCCGGUAGGGCAAAGAAAUCUUUUGAAAUUGUGUCGUGCUGGGGAUAGAUCAUUGUAAUUAUUGAUCUUCAACGAGGAAUUCCUAGUAAGUGCAAGUCAUCAGCUUGUACUGAUUAUGUCCCUGCCAAUUGUACACACCGCCCGUCGCUGCUACCGAUUGGAUGAUCCGGUGAACAAUUCGGAUAGAGUAAUCUAAAAGUUUUGUAAACCUUAUCAUCUAGAGGAAGCAAAAGUCGUAACA